This 75-nucleotide transfer RNA is filed under the name Podarcis lilfordi (Lilford's wall lizard). RNAcentral's name for it is "tRNA.Thr". The stretch from base 10 to 67 matches the Rfam family "tRNA", at positions 8 to 63 of the family's 71-position model. Rfam says of the family: Transfer RNA (tRNA) molecules are approximately 80 nucleotides in length. The record is from RNAcentral. Lineage: Eukaryota; Metazoa; Chordata; Lepidosauria; Squamata; Lacertidae.
GAAGGGCCAUAGCUUAGUGGUUAGAGCAUCUGCUUUGUAUGCAGAAGGUCCCAGGUUCAAUCCCUGACAUCUUCU